UGGGGAAUAUUGCACAAUGGGGGAAACCCUGAUGCAGCGACGCCGCGUGAACGAAGAAGGUAUUCGUAUCGUAAAGUUCUGUCCUAUGGGAAGAUAAUGACAGUACCAUAGAAGAAAGCUCCGGCUAAAUACGUGCCAGCAGCCGCGGUAAUACGUAUGGAGCGAGCGUUGUCCGGAAUUAUUGGGCGUAAAGGGUACGCAGGCGGUUUAAUAAGUCGAAUGUUAAAGAUCGGGGCUCGACCCCGUAAAGCAUUGGAAACUGAUAAACUUGAGUAGUGGAGCGGAAAGUGGAAUUCCUAGUGUAGUGGUGAAAUACGUAGAUAUUAGGAGGAAUACCAGUAGCGAAGGCGACUUUCUGGACGCAAACUGACGCUGAGGUACGAAAGCGUGGGGAGCAAACAGG
Molecule: ribosomal RNA, 403 nt
Filed under: bacterium
Lineage: Bacteria
Description: partial 16S ribosomal RNA
Rfam family: Bacterial small subunit ribosomal RNA
Source: RNAcentral